RNAcentral lists this ribosomal RNA (567 nucleotides) under Telaugia sp. ARC1377. RNAcentral's name for it is "SSU rRNA". It matches the Rfam family "Eukaryotic small subunit ribosomal RNA", at positions 30 to 579 of the family's 1831-position model. Lineage: Eukaryota; Metazoa; Arthropoda; Insecta; Coleoptera; Curculionidae. The record is from RNAcentral.
GCUUGUCUCAAAGAUUAAGCCAUGCAUGUCUCAGUACAAGCCAAAUUAAGGUGAAACCGCGAAAGGCUCAUUAAAUCAGUUAUGGUUCCUUAGAUCGUACCCACAAUUACUUGGAUAACUGUGGUAAUUCUAGAGCUAAUACAUGCAAACAGAGCUCCGACCGGAAACGGGAGGAGUGCUUUUAUUAGAUCAAAACCAAUCGGUGGCGGGCUCGUCAUCGUACAACUUGGUGACUCUGAAUAACUUUACGCUGAUCGCACGGUCACCGCACCGGCGACGCAUCUUUCAAAUGUCUGCCUUAUCAACUGUCGAUGGUAGGUUCUGCGCCUACCAUGGUUGUUACGGGUAACGGGGAAUCAGGGUUCGAUUCCGGAGAGGGAGCCUGAGAAACGGCUACCACAUCCAAGGAAGGCAGCAGGCGCGCAAAUUACCCACUCCCGGCACGGGGAGGUAGUGACGAAAAAUAACGAUACGGGACUCAUCCGAGGCCCCGUAAUCGGAAUGAGUACACUCUAAACCCUUUAACGAGGAUCAAUUGGAGGGCAAGUCUGGUGCCAGCAGCCGCGG